GAAUGCUAAAAGAAUGGAAAUUUAAAAAAAAACUUUUUUAAAAAUAAAAAUUGAAUUUUUUUUAAUUUGUGCAAAAACAAUUAUAUUUAUUAAAGACAAGAAGACCCUAAGAAUUUAAGAUUUUACAAUUAAAAAGUUUUUUUUUUAAAAUCUUGAUUGGGGCGAUCAAAAAAUAUUAAUAACUUUUUAAAAUUUAAAUUGAUCUAUUAUUAAUAAACUAAUGAAUUAAAUACUCUAGGGAUAACAGCGUAAUAAUUUUUGAUAGAUCUUAUUGACAAAAUAGUUUGCGACCUCGAUGUUGGAUUAGGAUUCUUUUUUAAUGAAGAAGUUAAAAAAAGAAGUUUGUUCAACUUUUAAAUUCCUACUUGAUCUGAGUUCAAACCG
RNAcentral lists this ribosomal RNA (384 nucleotides) under Hyalomma sp. Its description in RNAcentral is "partial large subunit ribosomal RNA". The stretch from base 240 to 384 matches the Rfam family "Bacterial large subunit ribosomal RNA", at positions 2473 to 2618 of the family's 2925-position model. The record is from RNAcentral. Lineage: Eukaryota; Metazoa; Arthropoda; Arachnida; Ixodida; Ixodidae.